AGCGAACGCUGGCGGCAUGCUUAACACAUGCAAGUCGAGCGGGCACUUUCGGGUGUUAGCGGCGGACGGUUGAGUAACGCGUGGGAACUUGCCCUCUGGUUCGGAAUCACUCAGGGAAACUUGAGCUAAUACCGGAUACGCCCUUUUGGGUAAAGGCUUUCUACCGGAGGAUCGGCCCGCGUCUGAUUAUCUAGUUGGUGAGGUAACGUCACACCAAGGCGCCGAUCAGUAGCUGGUCUGAGAGGAUGAGCAGCGACACUGGUACUAAGACACGGCACAGAAUCUUACGGGAGGGAGGAGAGGGGAAUAGUGGAAAAUGGGCGCAAGCAUGAUCGAGCCAGGACGCGUGAGUGAUGAAGGCCUUAGGGAUGUAAAGCGCUUUUAUCCGGGACGAUAAUGACGGUACCGGAGGAAUAAGCCACGGCUAACUACGUG
RNAcentral lists this ribosomal RNA (435 nucleotides) under uncultured bacterium. RNAcentral describes it as "partial 16S ribosomal RNA". It matches the Rfam family "Bacterial small subunit ribosomal RNA", at positions 29 to 507 of the family's 1533-position model. The record is from RNAcentral.